CUGACACGACCACCUGUGUCACCUGACACGGGUCGUGUCAUGAGGAAGGAAAAACAACAACAAGUAAUGCCCAAGACAGUGGCCUAACACGACCACCCAUAUCACCUGACACGGGCCGUGUCAGGUCGCCUGGGGCGUGUCAGCAAGGAAACAACAAGGCAGAGAGCUGACAUGGUCGCCUGUGUCAGCCCAAAAUGCUAAUUUUCCAGUUUUC
RNAcentral lists this long non-coding RNA (214 nucleotides) under Lathyrus oleraceus (garden pea). RNAcentral's name for it is "Pisum sativum (pea) long non-coding RNA (PSAT_LNC014911)". The record is from RNAcentral. Lineage: Eukaryota; Viridiplantae; Streptophyta; Magnoliopsida; Fabales; Fabaceae.